Molecule: unclassified non-coding RNA, 380 nt
Filed under: uncultured bacterium
Lineage: Bacteria
Description: contains 16S-23S intergenic spacer region
Source: RNAcentral
UCCGAUUUAAAUAUCGGCAGUCUCGUCAGAGUGCCCAGCCGAACUGGUGGCAACUGACAACAGAGGUUGCGCUCGUUGCGGGACUUAACCCAACAUCUCACGACACGAGCUGACGACAGCCAUGCAGCACCUUCUCACUCGUUCUCCGAAGAGCACCCCUACAUCUCUGUAAGGUUCGAGUGGAUUUAACCCAGGUAAGGUUCUGCGCGUUGCGUCGAAUUGAACCACAUGCUCCACCGCUUGUGCGGGCCCCCGUCAAUUCCUUUGAGUUUCAGCCUUGCGGCCGUACUCCCCAGGCGGGGCACUUAACGCGUUAGCUGCGGCACCGAAGGGGCCGCUCCCCCCGGCACCUAGUGCCCAUCGUUUACAGCGUGGACUAC